Molecule: unclassified non-coding RNA, 273 nt
Filed under: fungal sp.
Lineage: Eukaryota; Fungi
Description: partial internal transcribed spacer region
Rfam family: Eukaryotic small subunit ribosomal RNA (bases 1-46)
Source: RNAcentral
AAGUCGUAACAAGGUUUCCGUAGGUGAACCUGCGGAAGGAUCAUUACCGAAUUGUCAAACGGGUUGUUGCUGGCCCUCAUAGGGGGCAUGUGCACGCUCUGUUUACACAUCCACUCACACCUGUGCACCCUCUGUAGUUCUAUGGUCUGGGAGACCCUGUCUUCCUUCUGUGGUUCUACGUCUUUACACACACACUGUAAUAAAGUUUUAUGGAAUGUACAUCGCGUCUAACGCAAUACAAUACAACUUUCAGCAACGGAUCUCUUGGCUCUC